GAUGAACGCUAGCGGCAGGCUUAACACAUGCAAGUCGAGGGGUAACAGGGAUUGCUUGCAAUCCGCUGACGACCGGCGCACGGGUGCGUAACGCGUAUACAAUCUACCUUUUACAGGGGGAUAGCCCGAAGAAAUUCGGAUUAAUACCCCAUAAUAUUGAUAAAUCGCAUGGUUUAUUAAUUAAAGUUUCGGCGGUAAAAGAUGAGUAUGCGUUCUAUUAGUUAGUUGGUAAGGUAACGGCUUACCAAGACAUCGAUAGAUAGGGGUCCUGAGAGGGAGAUCCCCCACACUGGUACUGAGACACGGACCAGACUCCUACGGGAGGCAGCAGUGAGGAAUAUUGGACAAUGGGCGAGAGCCUGAUCCAGCCAUGCCGCGUGCAGGAAGACUGCCCUAUGGGUUGUAAACUGCUUUUAUACAGGAAGAAACCACUUUACGUGUAGAGUGCUGACGGUACUGUAAGAAUAAGCACCGGCU
This 477-nucleotide ribosomal RNA is filed under the name uncultured bacterium. Its description in RNAcentral is "bacterial SSU rRNA". It matches the Rfam family "Bacterial small subunit ribosomal RNA", at positions 28 to 498 of the family's 1533-position model. The record is from RNAcentral.